RNAcentral lists this ribosomal RNA (1016 nucleotides) under uncultured bacterium. RNAcentral's name for it is "bacterial SSU rRNA". It matches the Rfam family "Bacterial small subunit ribosomal RNA", at positions 357 to 1376 of the family's 1533-position model. The record is from RNAcentral.
AGGAAUAUUGGUCAAUGGGCGCGAGCCUGAACCAGCCAAGUAGCGUGAAGGAUGAAGAUCCUACGGAUUGUAAACUUCUUUUAUAAGGGAAUAAAGUCAUCUACGUGUAGGUGUUUGUAUGUACCUUAUGAAUAAGCAUCGGCUAACUCCGUGCCAGCAGCCGCGGUAAUACGGAGGAUGCGAGCGUUAUCCGGAUUUAUUGGGUUUAAAGGGAGCGUAGACGGGUCGUUAAGUCAGCUGUGAAAGUUUGGGGCUCAACCUUAAAAUUGCAGUUGAUACUGGCGUCCUUGAGUACGGUUGAGGCAGGCGGAAUUCGUGGUGUAGCGGUGAAAUGCUUAGAUAUCACGAAGAACCCCGAUUGCGAAGGCAGCCUGCUAAGCUGCAACUGACAUUGAGGCUCGAAAGUGUGGGUAUCAAACAGGAUUAGAUACCCUGGUAGUCCACACGGUAAACGAUGAAUACUCGCUGUUUGCGAUAUACUGCAAGCGGCCAAGCGAAAGCGUUAAGUAUUCCACCUGGGGAGUACGCCGGCAACGGUGAAACUCAAAGGAAUUGACGGGGGCCCGCACAAGCGGAGGAACAUGUGGUUUAAUUCGAUGAUACGCGAGGAACCUUACCCGGGCUUAAAUUGCAGAUGAAUUACGGUGAAAGCCGUAAGCCGCAAGGCAUCUGUGAAGGUGCUGCAUGGUUGUCGUCAGCUCGUGCCGUGAGGUGUCGGCUUAAGUGCCAUAACGAGCGCAACCCUUGUUGUCAGUUACUAACAGGUUCCGCUGAGGACUCUGACAAGACUGCCAUCGUAAGAUGUGAGGAAGGUGGGGAUGACGUCAAAUCAGCACGGCCCUUACGUCCGGGGCUACACACGUGUUACAAUGGGGGGUACAGAGGGCCGCUACCACGCGAGUGGAUGCCAAUCCCCAAAACCUCUCUCAGUUCGGACUGGAGUCUGCAACCCGACUCCACGAAGCUGGAUUCGCUAGUAAUCGCGCAUCAGCCACGGCGCGGUGAAUACGUUCCCG